AAGGUCUAACCAUGCUUUCCAAUGAAUCCGUUGCUAAUUCUAUUCCCCAGCAAAGCCAGUUAUUCCCCAAAAGCAAUUGGCAUUACUAGACAAAUUGGUCAUCUCUUCCACCCCCGGCCAGGCUUCUGUUAAAUAUUUCUACCAUCAGACAGAAAUCAAGUAUCCCUAGAUGAGAAGGGGUCAUCAAUACAAGUAUCUCCAACCAGAAGAUGGGGAUUUAUUUUC
This 225-nucleotide long non-coding RNA is filed under the name Lathyrus oleraceus (garden pea). RNAcentral describes it as "Pisum sativum (pea) long non-coding RNA (PSAT_LNC000553)". Lineage: Eukaryota; Viridiplantae; Streptophyta; Magnoliopsida; Fabales; Fabaceae. The record is from RNAcentral.